Non-coding RNA from Pelobates cultripes (western spadefoot toad), 271 nucleotides. NCBI's taxonomy places the organism in Eukaryota, Metazoa, Chordata, Amphibia, Anura, Pelobatidae. The record is from the annotation of a GenBank genome assembly.
GUGACAGAGUGAGAGAGGGGGUGACUAAUGACAGAGUGAGCGAGGGUGUGACUAGUGACAGAGUGAGAGAGGGGGUGACUGUCACUAGUCACCCCAUCCCUCUCUCUGUCACUAGUCACUCCCUCCCUCACUCUGUCACUAGUCACUCCCUCCCUCACUCUGUCACUGUUACCCCCUCUCUCCCUAGUCACCCUUUCCUCACUCUGUCACUAGUCACCCCAUCCUUCUCUCUGUCACUAGUCACCCCAUCCCUCUCUCUGUCACUAGUCAC